GAUGAACGCUGGCGGCGUGCCUAAUACGUGCAAGUCGAGCGAACGGACGAGAAGCUUGCUUCUCUGAUGUUAGCGGCGGACGGGUGAGUAACACGUGGAUAACCUACCUAUAAGACUGGGAUAACUUCGGGAAACCGGAGCUAAUACCGGAUAAUAUUUUGAACCGCAUGGUUCAAAAGUGAAAGACGGUCUUGCUGUCACUUAUAGAUGGAUCCGCGCUGCAUUAGCUAGUUGGUAAGGUAACGGCUUACCAAGGCAACGAUGCAUAGCCGACCUGAGAGGGUGAUCGGCCACACGGGAACUGAGACACGGUCCAGACUCCUACGGGAGGCAGCAGUAGGGAAUCUUCCGCAAUGGGCGAAAGCCUGACGGAGCAACGCCGCGUGAGUGAUGAAGGUCUUCGGAUCGUAAAACUCUGUUAUUAGGGAAGAACAUAUGUGUAAGUAACUGUGCACAUCUUGACGGUACCUAAUCAGAAAGCCACGGCUAACUACGUG
RNAcentral lists this ribosomal RNA (497 nucleotides) under uncultured bacterium. RNAcentral's name for it is "partial 16S ribosomal RNA". It matches the Rfam family "Bacterial small subunit ribosomal RNA", at positions 28 to 507 of the family's 1533-position model. The record is from RNAcentral.